This 636-nucleotide ribosomal RNA is filed under the name Yarrowia lipolytica. RNAcentral describes it as "eukaryotic LSU rRNA". It matches the Rfam family "Eukaryotic large subunit ribosomal RNA", at positions 1 to 493 of the family's 3401-position model. The record is from RNAcentral. Lineage: Eukaryota; Fungi; Ascomycota; Dipodascomycetes; Dipodascales.
CUGCACUUACUUGUAAAAAAACCACAGCGGGGGAUAAGACCUUGUUCAACGCUUUCCCUGAGUUUAGAAGACAAAACGCGGGAGGAACAAGGGACCGUCUCCGAAACAUGGGACAUUGCAUAUUCCAAAAGCUGAGGAAAAGAAACCAACAGGGAUUGCCUCAGUAACGGCGAGUGAAGCGGCAAAAGCUCAAAUUUGAAACCCUCGGGAUUGUAAUUUGAAGAUUUGGCAUUGGAGAAAGCUAACCCAAGUUGCUUGGAAUAGUACGUCAUAGAGGGUGACAACCCCGUCUGGCUAACCGUUCUCCAUGUAUUGCCUUAUCAAAGAGUCGAGUUGUUUGGGAAUGCAGCUCAAAGUGGGUGGUAAACUCCAUCUAAAGCUAAAUACUGGUGAGAGACCGAUAGCGAACAAGUACUGUGAAGGAAAGGUGAAAAGAACUUUGAAAAGAGAGUGAAAUAGUAUGUGAAAUUGUUGAUAGGGAAGGAAAUGAGUGGAGAGUGGCCGAGGUUUCAGCCGCCCCUCGUGGGCGGUGUACUGCCGACGCCGAGUCAUCGAUAGCGAGACGAGGGUUACAAAUGGGAGCGCCUUCGGGCGUUCUCCCCUAACCCUCCACACUGCCACCGACGACUGCCCCGC